UUAGUCGUGUGUACAUCAUUGGGAAUGGAGGGAAAUAAAUGACUGGAUGGUCGCUGCUUUUUAAGUUUCAAAUUGACAUUCCAGACAAGCGGUGCCUGAGCCCGUGCCUGUCUUCAGAUCUUCACAGCACAGUUCCUGGGAAGGUGGAGCCACCAGCCUCUCCCUGUCCUGGAGGCUGGAAGUGCAAAAGGAAGGUGUCGGCAAGAUCGUUUUUUUCUGAGAGCUCUCUCCUUGGCUUGCAGAUGGCAGCUUGCUCCUGGCACAGUCUUUUCUCUACUCACGCCCAAAGUUACGGAGGACCCAGCAACCAUCUCCUGCAGCCCCUGAAAACCUCUUGACUCUUCUGUGAUGUCCCCAGUGAUCCAGCAGCCCCGGCCUUCUUUUGAUGGCUUGAACAUUUGGUCUUCAUUGAACAGUUUGUAUAUUGGAAACUUGCCAGCCUCCAUCCACAUUCCAACCUCCGUCUGCAUCCCUCGGUACAAAAUGGUUCAAUCUGUCUACCUCCUUUCACAUUCCACCAAGAUAUUCCAAGGUCCAGGGUUCCUUUGACCACCUCACACCUAACAAGUUCCCUCACUGUCUCUCACUCUCCCCUGAAGAUUCUAAGCUGCCUCUGUCCUGCUAAAACUGUAGACCUGAGAAUGAAGUAAGGUGCUUCAGGUGAGGUUUGAUCAGCCCAGAGCAGAAAGGGGCCACCUCCUCCCACCCUAUAAGACCCUAUUAGUGCACCUUGGAGCCCUUUGCUUGGCUGGUGGCUACAAUACACUUCUGUUAAUGACGGAAUUCCAUAACAUUUUUCCCCAUUAAUUUCUGCUACAAAACACAAAAGUCUUAGCCAGGUGUGGUGGUGCACACCUGUUGUCCCAGCUACUCAGGAGUCUGAGGUGAGAGGAUCACUGAGCCUGGGAGGCAGAGGUUACAGUGAGCCAAGAUGGCGCCGUUGUACUCCAAGCUGGGUGACAGAGGGAGACCCUGUCUCAAAAACAAAAAA
RNAcentral lists this long non-coding RNA (991 nucleotides) under Homo sapiens (human). Its description in RNAcentral is "MIR4435-2 host gene". Lineage: Eukaryota; Metazoa; Chordata; Mammalia; Primates; Hominidae. The record is from RNAcentral.